RNAcentral lists this long non-coding RNA (740 nucleotides) under Anas platyrhynchos platyrhynchos (common mallard). RNAcentral describes it as "lncRNA (ENSAPLG00000019210.1)". Lineage: Eukaryota; Metazoa; Chordata; Aves; Anseriformes; Anatidae. The record is from RNAcentral.
AUUAAAUGUCAAAUAUCAAUUAAUGAUUGAAGGAACAUUCACAUUUACUAAUUGAGUAGAAAACUUGGAGCCAUUGUAAUGACCACAGUGAAUAUGGAAUUCUCUACAAAUAAAAUGUUCGGAGAUUUUGAGUACUGUGUUUUCCCUGUUUCUUGUCACCCUGCUGAUACUGAGGAACCAACACAUACAAAAGAUGGCUGAGAAACCUAGCACUGGACCUGCACUUCACAGUUUGUGUUACAAAACAAGACUGAGCAAUAUGUUAAAAAAUGCCUGGGGAAGCCACUGCACUGAAAAGCAGUCCCCAGAGCUGGCAAAGCCUUGCCUGAACAUUGGGUCCUGGGAGAUCUACAACUGCCAAAUUCCCAUCAGAGUGUGUGUGGAGACAUAGGAAUCCCUGAGAGGACAUCUCAGACAAGGACUCUUAGAACUGCUGACUCCUUCAUCCCUUCUGCAAUGCCAGCCAUCUGAACUAAACGCUUUGGUCAGAGGUGACGGCUCCUGGGGCUCUUGACCCUGAGAGUAGGAAUGCCUUGGAGCACCUAAUGGGGAGCAAAGCUGCAUAGUUUUUACAGACCUAAAGGCCCAGAUAUCCUUGAAUCCCCAUGGCUGAGCUGGCAGAGAACAGGCACAUGUCUUGUGGAAAUUUGUUGAAACUGAAAUGUCACUGUGAAAACUUCUGGGUUCAGUGUUUUGACAUUUUUCACUGAAUAAACAUUCAGUUGGAAAAUUCUUGACCA